RNAcentral lists this ribosomal RNA (912 nucleotides) under Triticum aestivum (bread wheat). Its description in RNAcentral is "partial small subunit ribosomal RNA". Lineage: Eukaryota; Viridiplantae; Streptophyta; Magnoliopsida; Poales; Poaceae. The record is from RNAcentral.
AUGGCACUUCUGCGCGAAGCUCACCCGCCAAUUCAUGAAGGGUUGGGGGGCUAACCUUGGCCGGGGUCUCCGAGAUCGCAAAAGGCCCUCCUAUUGGCUAUCCAAGCCCUGGACGCCCGCGCCGACACGACCGGGAUUUCCCCGGAUGAGUGGAUGUUGCGAUACGACCUUGAAGACCAGCUCUCCACCAUUUACACAGAUGAAGAGGCCUACUGGCGCCUGCAUGGUACCCAACGGUGGGUGCUUCGAGGUGACGCCAACACGGCAUAUUUCCAGGCGGUGGCGAACGGCCGGCGUCGUCGCAAUUCCAUCCACUACCUGUGGGAUGGAGACACGCCUAUCGUUCUCCCCUCGUCCAUCCGUGCCCAUGUAGACGCCUUCUAUAAAGCCCUAUUUACCCCCACCCCAUGGGGUGGGGCUAGUCUCGCCCCCAACAUUUGGUCGGGUACGCAAUUGGUCUCGGCUGAGGCCAAUGUGGCAUUAGUAGCCCCUUUUGACGAGGACGAGGUCCUCGCAGCCAUUAAGGGGUUGAACCCCUCCUCGGCCCCGGGUCCGGAUGGCCUAGCCGUGACGUUCUUCAAGACGUUCUGGCAUACCAUCAAGCCGGAGGUCAUGGCCCUGUUUGAGGAAUUUUAUUCGGGCGCCAUGGACCUUGGGCGCCUCAAUUAUGGGAUUGUGACCCUCAUCCCCAAGGUCCCGGGCGCUUCUGACAUCCGCCAGUUCCGCCCAAUCACAGUGAUUAAUGUGAUUUUCUGGAUCCUGGCCAAAGGGUACGCCAAUAGGGUGACCCUCCUCACUGACACGAUUACCCAUCCGAACCAAUCCGCCUUCAUACAAGGCCGAUUUAUUCUGGAUGGGGUGUUAGUAUUCCACGAAGUCCUCCACGAGGUUCGGCUGAAACACCAUCGCGCG